Long non-coding RNA from Brassica napus (rape), 697 nucleotides. RefSeq lists it as uncharacterized. Lineage: Eukaryota; Viridiplantae; Streptophyta; Magnoliopsida; Brassicales; Brassicaceae. The record is from RefSeq and is a predicted model, not a curated record. The transcript is spliced from 2 exons.
GGAUAUGGUUAGGUUUAUAACCGAAUAAACCGAAUAAACCGAAUAAAACCGAUUAAAAUAAGAACAUAUAAAUAUAUACAUUAUAUAACGCCAGGGUACAUAAUACGUGUAACUGAUAUGUUAAUAUGUUAUAUAAGUUAAUUUUCUUGUUAAUAAAUAAUACCAUAUACUUUUAUAUUAAAGAAGCCCUAAUUUGAAAAUACUUAAACAAUAAUUUAAAAAACUCACAGCAGCCGUAGGUGGAAUAGUCUUUCUUCUUUUAACUUUUUGCUUCUUAGUUCCUACUGCCAUUGAAUCAUUGACUGAGUGAAGGUAUCUCUUAAUAAUUUUCUCUUUUUGAUUUUUCAUGCUUUGAGAAAUUGUAAAAUUAGAUGGUAACAAGAAAUUUCUUUGAAAAAACAGAGGAGAACAAGAAGAGCUGUAAUAAACAAAAGAGCAUCGAACAGAUGUUGGAUGAAUAUGAAUUCAUGGACUCUCUAGUAGAAGAAUUUCACGUUCAGUCAGAGGAGGCAUGACUGAUGAACAAUGUCACCAAUUAUGGGAGAGUGGGAAAACGUUUUUUCAUGCAUAUGUUUUGUUUUUAUUAUUUAUUUUUCACAACUUUGAGCUAUGGUUUUGGUUUUUGAUUUGAUUAUUUUAUUUGCUUAUUUUGUUACUCUUUGACAUUGAUUAUUUAUAAGAUGAACGUUUUGAUAAA